AUUGAACGCUGGCGGCAGGCUUAACACAUGCAAGUCGAGCGGAGAUGAGGUGCUUGCACCUUAUCUUAGCGGCGGACGGGUGAGUAAUGCUUAGGAAUCUGCCUAAUAGUGGGGGACAACAUUCCGAAAGGAAUGCUAAUACCGCAUACGUCCUACGAGAGAAAGCAGGGGAUCUUCGGACCUUGCGCUAAUAGAUGAGCCUAAGUCGGAUUAGCUAGUUGGCGGGGUAAAGGCGUACCAAGGCGACGAUCUGUAGCGGGUCUGAGAGGAUGAUCCGCCACACUGGGACUGAGACACGGCCCAGACUCCUACGGGAGGCAGCAGUGGGGAAUAUUGGACAAUGGGGGGAACCCUGAUCCAGCCAUGCCGCGUGUGUGAAGAAGGCCUUAUGGUUGUAAAGCACUUUAAGCGAGGAGGAGGCUACUGAGACUAAUACUCUUGGAUAGUGGACGUUACUCGCAGAAUAAGCACCGGCUAACUCUGUGCCAGCAGCCGCCGCCG
Molecule: ribosomal RNA, 501 nt
Filed under: uncultured bacterium
Lineage: Bacteria
Description: partial 16S ribosomal RNA
Rfam family: Bacterial small subunit ribosomal RNA
Source: RNAcentral